Molecule: long non-coding RNA, 922 nt
Organism: Anolis carolinensis (green anole)
Lineage: Eukaryota; Metazoa; Chordata; Lepidosauria; Squamata; Anolidae
Exons: 3
Source: RefSeq, a predicted model, not a curated record
ACACUUUCCACAGUUUCUUUACAAAGCUAUUGUGGACAUGCUGAAAAAUAAAUACUAUUUUGGACUUCCCACAUCCUGAGCAUCAGGAAGUUUCAGGAAGAGUCGUUUCUGACUUUUCGUGAUCUCAUGGCUCAGUCCAGUCCAUGCCAGAGCUUCCUGUGAGAGAUCUGGUGCCACAACAUAUCCCAUUAUUCCAUGAGAUGGAGCCAUGACAAUUCAGCUCAAUGACAUUUCUUUCUCCCACCCUGGAUAUUCCAUACACUCCACUUGCCUCACCUUUAACCCUAACCCUAAACCUACACCUGUUGAUAAACUCUACAAGUUAGCUGGCAUUGCCCCUCCUGACGUGCGAUGGGAAGUUGCUGCUAACUGCGAGAGAAAAAAGGUCAAACAUUGUGAAAGCCACCCACUGCAUGACUACCAGCCUCCUCCCACCAGACUCAAAUCAAGGAAGGGCUUCAUGAGAACCACCACUCCUCUUGAUGUUCCCCCAGCAACAGCAAGGGUGUCCCUCUGGGCAGCUAAACCUGGCAAUUCUAACUGGAUGCCCCCCCCAUGAGGGUCUUCCUCCAGGGGCAAACCGAGAAUGGGCAACUUGGAAGUCCCUAAACAGACUGAGAAGCGGAGUGGGCAGAUCAAAAGACAACCUGGCAAGAUGGCAUUACCUGGAGGAAUCCUCCACCUUGUGUGACUGUGGAGCAGAACAAACAACUCCGCAUAUGUAUGCUUGCCCACAAUGUCCUGCCUCAUGUACGGAGGAGGAGUUGUUUAAAGCUACGGACAAUGCGGUUGCUGUUGCCCGCUUUUGGUCCAAAACUAUUUAGUUGCUUGUGAUUUCCUUUUUUUCCCCAUCAUUUUAAAAUGUAUUUGUUAUGCAAUGCUUUUGACAUGAAAUAAAUAAAACCUAUAACAGACCUCUGAA